This is a long non-coding RNA of Triticum aestivum (bread wheat), 1507 nucleotides long. RefSeq lists it as uncharacterized. The transcript is spliced from 3 exons. The record is from RefSeq and is a predicted model, not a curated record. Lineage: Eukaryota; Viridiplantae; Streptophyta; Magnoliopsida; Poales; Poaceae.
CUAUGAUUGAAUUAACCAUGCCUUUUUCUUUUGGAUUCAAAUUUUCUUCUAUCCUGUCAUCUCAUAUUGUUGUGCUCACCAUGGAUUGGAUCCUUUCCCUUACCACGUACAAUUUUUGGAUGGCCCAUGGACAUCAGGUCAGAGCAGACAAAUUAUACCCAUCAGCGCUGGUCAAGAUUCUCCCACUCCAUGCCAACGUUGUUUCUGGUCUGUUGCUAUAAUUGUUCCAUUGGCUAGAUCAAAUAUAUUUCUUAUAUAGUGCAAAUAUAAUGAGUGGAUUAUUGUUUUUACUCUCUUCUCUCAAAUUAAUAUUGGUGGAUUUGGCAGCAGCUUCCCUCGACACUAACCAAGUGUAUAACGUUUAAAACAGUGGUGUGCGACAUGAUGAUGCAAUAAACCCCAAUUAAUGGAGGAGGUGAUUUGCCAACACAAACAUGGUACUAUGAGUCGUCAUUGUAGUCUGUUGGUUUAGUUGCAUUAUAUGACACUAUGUUGGCUUAGCUGCAUGUAUAACUCUAUGAUGUUACUAAUCCGUGCAAGUUACACUCAAUCCAAUAUUCGCUUGACCGCCAUCGCUGUUGGCCACCGUCGUGAUGGCGAGUUUAUCACUCUGCUACUUCUUUGCUGGAACGCCAUCAUUGCAUGGCCGUUCGACAUGAAAUGCCAAUGAAAAGGCACGUGCGCUCACUACAUUAUUCCAAGCUUCCCAUCACAGGUGUAGUCAGCCCGUAGUGUUCUGGAUCUAGGCGUACAUGUGGCUUGCCAGGGCAUCACGUACAUAUAUUGAUUCCAUACCAGAGUCUGUUGUUUUCAUUCUUCGAUUUUUGUUUUGAUGUUUUCCCAUUGUACUGAUUUUUAUAAUUUGAUAACAAUUAUGUUAGUUUAGGGGAGCAUAAUUUAUUGUUUGGUUUUUAUGUAAGUCAAUUCAAUUCAUUUUGAAUAAGCCUUCAACCUUGACUGUCUCUUAUGUUCUACUUAUAUGUGGAUUGUGUUUCUCGCAUUCUGUGAUCUUCCUGAAUCUUUCAUAGUUUUGUGUUUCUUUAAGGAUUUCAACAGAUUCAUUUUUCCUUUCACAUUGACCAUGAAUAUGCGGUUGAUUUUUUCUCCCCAGAGUUAUUUCAAUUUAAGUUAUGUAUGUUUUCCAUGUUUCCAGUUAUUUCUCUAAGGGCGGCCAGUUGAUUGGUGAGCCCAUAAAUUGCUGUCUAUGGUUGUCUCUAGGUGGCAAAAAUGAUUUCCCCGAGCUAGCAUCAUUGUUGGACAGAGUGCAGUUGGAGACCGAGUUGAAGCAGAACUAUGUAGCAGAGCUAUGCAUGUCAUCAGUCACCAUGUCGCAAAUACGUUGCCUAAUGCAUCGGAGGCUCAUGUUAGACUUGGCCAUUUUCUCCCAAAAAAAUUCAAUCAGACGGUUGUACUACAGAAUUUGCACUGCUUACAAGCAAGGAUUGACCUUCACGUCCGUCCAUGCAUGUUAACUUAGUAAGUUAAUUUAGGUUAAAGUUGUGAUGAA